AAUACUGGGACUAACCAAGAGUCAGAGCUCUAAAUACUGGGACUAACCAAGUGUCAGAGCUCUAAAUACUGGGACUAACCGAGAGUCAGAGCUCUAAAUACUGGGACUAACCGAGAGUCAGAGCUCUAAAUACUGGGACUAACCAAGAGUCAGAGUUCCUAAUACUGGGACUAACCAAAAUGUACAACUCAAGCGGCUGGGACAAAAAAUUAAACAGAAAAACACAGUUUCCUUUCUCCCCUUGCACUUUUGAACACACACACACAUCUUCUUUAGAACAGGUUGUCGGUUGCCAUGGGAAUGCUCACCUUGCAAGGAUAAAUCCCAUUUGUGUGUGUGUGUGCUGUCUAUAAGAUGACUCAUUCUCCUUGCUCACAGUAUUAAGUGCACAGAAAGGUGACAUCAGAGCUCCGGUGGUGACUCAUCACAGCCACUGACCAGUUCUGCUGUGGGGAGUGGGGCACUUUAGGGGCACUUUUAAGGGCACAAAAUCUUUAAGUCCAUUUGAACAUUAAAAAAGCAGGGUGGGACCUCAAGAGCUAUAAGGCAAAUGUUACAGACCCCCACAGGUGACAUGGCUACUUAAUAAAAAAGACUUCCUGGCUAUGACUUUUUAACAUGAGGGAACAAGAUAAUGAAGUCAUGGUUAACACUUUCAAGGGGAGGAAAGGAUGGAAACAAGAUCAUUAAGACAUGGCUGCAACUUAGUAAGGGAAAAGAAUGAUAUGAAUGGCCAUGACAUAGUAAGGAAAGGGAAUGAUAGGAGUGAGAUAAUUAAGUCAUGGCUGUGAUUGUGGCCCCGUUCACACCUGGCAUUAACACAUGUCCUGGGUGAUCUGACUGUAAGUGGAUAGCACUAGGUGCAGGUGUGAACAGGGUCAAAUGCGUCUCGAAGGGGACAUAACAUGACCCUAAUUUGUCCUGGAUAGCCACAAAAGACCGACUACUCAACCGUGUCAACGAAACAAAACACCAACUGCUCAAGCUGCUUUUCAAAGCUUUAUUUGUUGUCUCAUCUCUCAAUCAUUUCUAAAUUUUGUUAGCAGACGACUUUGUUACUAUUAAAGCAAAACAAGUGAUCCGACCCCUAUCACCCGUGUGAAAAAAUAAUUACCCCCUUAAACAUAAAAUCUGCUUGUCCCACCUUUAGCAGCAAUAACUGCAACCAAACACUUCAGAUAACUGGAGAUCGGUCUUUCACUUACUUCUUGGUCUAGGAUUUACUCCUGUGCUUCGGAUCGUUGUCUUGCUGCAUAAUCCAGUUACGCUUGAGUUUCAACUUACAGACUGAAGACCGGACAUUCUCCUUUAGAGAAUUUAGAGUUAGGGUCCUUUAGAGGACCCUCUAGAGAAUCCUUAAGAGAAUCUCCUUUAGAUUUUCUGGUACAGAACAGAAUUCAUGUUUCCCUCAAUUACUGAAAGUUACCCAGGCCGUGAAGCAGCAGAGCAUCCCCACACCAUCACACUUCCUCCACCAUGCUUGGUUUACUCCAGAUGUAACGGGACGUCUGUCUUACAAACAGUUCCACUUUCCACUCAUCAGUCCACAGAACAUUCUCCCAAAAAGUUUGAGGAUCAUCAAGGUGUGUUGUGGUGAAUGAUGAAGUUUGCAUGGCGCUAAACCGGAGGCCAUAAACUUUCCUUUUGUGUUAGCUAGGUUCGCCUUGUUGCUCCAGUGUUAAUGGACUAAUGAAACAAUUCUCUCUUUGUAUGUGUGUGUGUGUGUGGGUGUGUGUGUGUGUGUGUGUGUGUGUUAAAGAGAUAGGAGGAAAAAACUAGUGAUUAAUCUCCAGAAUCAGAGGCUGUGAUUAGCGCAUAUCUCCGUGUCUCAAGUUUUAUUAGAUACUAAAUCGGUGUACAUGAUCAACAGGCAGCACACACACACACACACACACACACACACACACACACACACACACACUUGACUCUUUAUGCCGCUCCUUACUUCUGCUAAUGAGUCACAAUCAAGAGGCUCACUGAGGCCUGAAGCUAAUGAUUAGCAGUGAAGAUAUUAGCACAGCUUCAGUGUAAAUUUGGAUGCUAAUGCUAACGUAGCUGUGAUUAAAAUGCAGACGGACUGAAAAUUUCACAGCGACAGAGAUUCUGAAAUUUGUUUUAAUGCUACAGGCGUGCUUGUUUUAAUUAAACAUGUAAUCAGGAACUAUAGUAUUUACUGUAAUUCUUUAACGCGCAGACUCUUGUUAGUCCCAAUAUAAUUAUUACAUAUAGUUAUU
This is a long non-coding RNA of Ictalurus punctatus (channel catfish), 2234 nucleotides long. The record is from Ensembl. NCBI's taxonomy places the organism in Eukaryota, Metazoa, Chordata, Actinopteri, Siluriformes, Ictaluridae.